AUUGAACGCUGGCGGCAGGCCUAACACAUGCAAGUCGAACGGUAACAGGAAGACGCUUGCUUCUUUGCUGACGAGUGGCGGACGGGUGAGUAAUGUCUGGGAAACUGCCUGAUGGAGGGGGAUAACUACUGGAAACGGUAGCUAAUACCGCAUAACGUCGCAAGACCAAAAGGGGGAACUUUCGGGCCUCUUCCAUUCGAUUGUUCCCAGAUGGAAUUACAUAGUAGGUGGGGUAACGGCUCACCUAGGCGAGGAUCCCUAGCUGGUAUAGGGGGUUGACCAGCCACACUGGAACUGAGACACGGUCCAGACUCCUACGGGAGGCAGCAGUGGGGAAUAUUGCACAAUGGGCGCAAGCCUGAUGCAGCCAUGCCGCGUGUAUGAAGAAGGCCUUCGGGUUGUAAAGUACUUUCAGCGGGGAGGAAGGGAGUAAAGUUAAUACCCUUGCUCAUUGACGUUACCCGCAGAAGAAGCACCGGCUAACUCCGUG
This 490-nucleotide ribosomal RNA is filed under the name uncultured bacterium. RNAcentral's name for it is "partial 16S ribosomal RNA". It matches the Rfam family "Bacterial small subunit ribosomal RNA", at positions 30 to 507 of the family's 1533-position model. The record is from RNAcentral.